UACGUAGGGUGCAAGCGUUGUCCGGAAUUAUUGGGCGUAAAGAGCUCGUAGGCGGUUUGUCGCGUCUGCUGUGAAAUUUCGGGGCUCAACCCCGAACUUGCAGUGGGUACGGGCAGACUAGAGUGUGGUAGGGGAGACUGGAAUUCCUGGUGUAGCGGUGAAAUGCGCAGAUAUCAGGAGGAACACCGAUGGCGAAGGCAGGUCUCUGGGCAACUACUGACGCUGAGAAGCGAAAGCAUGGGGAGCGAACAGG
Molecule: ribosomal RNA, 253 nt
Filed under: uncultured bacterium
Lineage: Bacteria
Description: partial 16S ribosomal RNA
Rfam family: Bacterial small subunit ribosomal RNA
Source: RNAcentral